AGUGAACGCUGGCGGUAGGCCUAACACAUGCAAGUCGAACGGCAGCACAGUAAGAGCUUGCUCUUACGGGUGGCGAGUGGCGGACGGGUGAGGAAUACAUCGGAAUCUACUUUUUCGUGGGGGAUAACGUAGGGAAACUUACGCUAAUACCGCAUACGACCUACGGGUGAAAGCAGGGGAUCUUCGGACCUUGCGCGAUUGAAUGAGCCGAUGUCGGAUUAGCUAGUUGGCGGGGUAAAGGCCCACCAAGGCGACGAUCCGUAGCUGGUCUGAGAGGAUGGUCGGCCACACGGGAACUGAGACACGGUCCAGACUCCUACGGGAGGCAGCAGUGGGGAAUAUUGGACAAUGGGCGCAAGCCUGAUCCAGCCAUACCGCGUGGGUGAAGAAGGCCUUCGGGUUGUAAAGCCCUUUUGUUGGGAAAGAAAAGCAGCAGGUUAAUACCCCGCUGUUCUGACGGUACCCAAAGAAUAAGCACCGGCUAACUUCGUG
This 492-nucleotide ribosomal RNA is filed under the name uncultured bacterium. RNAcentral describes it as "partial 16S ribosomal RNA". It matches the Rfam family "Bacterial small subunit ribosomal RNA", at positions 29 to 507 of the family's 1533-position model. The record is from RNAcentral.